This 789-nucleotide ribosomal RNA is filed under the name uncultured archaeon. Its description in RNAcentral is "bacterial SSU rRNA". It matches the Rfam family "Archaeal small subunit ribosomal RNA", at positions 85 to 879 of the family's 1478-position model. The record is from RNAcentral.
ACGGCUCAGUAACACGUAGCUAACUUGCCCUAUGGUUCGGAAUACCUUCGGGAAACUGAGGUUAAGACCGGAUAAGAGAAAAAUACUGGAAUGUUUUUUCUUUGAAAGGUAACGCCAUAGGAUAGGGCUGCGGCGGAUUAGGUGUCGGCGGGGUAAUGGCCCACCAAGCCGAUGAUCCGUAGAGGCUUUAGCGAAGGAGCCUCGAGAGGGAAUCUGAGACACUAUUCCCAGCCUUACGGGGUGCAGCAGUUAAGAAUCUUCUACAAUGCGCGAAAGCGUGAUAGAGUGAGCCAGAGUGAUUCUCCGCAUGGAGAAUCUUUUGUUAAAUGUAAAUAGUUUAGCGAAUAAGGACCGGGAAAGAUUGGUGCCAGCCGCCGCGGUAAUACCAACGGUUCAAGUCGCAGCCACAUUUAUUGGGUCUAAAACAUCCGUAGCUUGCUUUGUAAGUCUCUUGUGAAAUCCCUCAUCUCAAAUGGGGGGCGUGCAGGAGAUACUGCAUUGCUAGAGACCGGGAGACGUAAGGAGUACAUAAAGGGUAUCGGUAAAAUGAGUUGAUCCUUUGUGGACCAACGAUAGCGAAGGCACCUUACGAGAACGGAUCUGACAGUCAGGGAUGAAGGCCAGGGUCGCGAAAGGGAUUAGAUACCCCUGUAGUCCUGGCAGUAAACACUGCGCACUAAACAUUGGUACCUCUUCGAGAGGCAUCAGUGCUGCAGGGAAGCCGUAGAGUGCGCUACCUGGGAAGUAUAGUUGCAAGGCCGAAACUUAAAGGAAUUGGCGGGGGAGCAC